GCGUGAUCAUUGCAGUAGUGGGCAGAGAGGCCUGCGGAGACUGUUCCACUGGUAAAAUGCUUGCCCAGCAAGCACAGAACCUGACUUCAAUCUCCACAAUAGAUUGUGCAUAAAAAGCGAUCAGCUGAGAAUAUAUACCGCUUUCACUGAAGACCUGAGUUUGGUCUUCAGUAGCCAUGCUGGGUAGUUUCUGGCCUUGGACCGAGUAGUCUGGAGGGACAAAGCCUGCUAGUCAAUGAAGUCACAAUCUAAGGACAUUCUGAGAAGACGCGGAAGAGAGAAGUGUCCUGAGGAGGCUGACUGAGAUUAGAUUCUACGCAUGAUACUCUUAGCCCAAGAAACAAAGGUUCCUGAGAGUGGGCUCCCCACAGCAAGAUCUGACCUUAGCUCCCAACUGUGGGAAGGAGCCUGUCUAUUUUAGGAGUGAAGACCUGCAGAGGGGUCACUGCCAAGAUGGUUACUGCCAGGAACGAAACGCUGUCUAACCUGGAGCUUGUCUGAAAGAGCCAGAGGGACCCUGGACAUCCACCUUGGCCUCACAGGUCCGGAGAUGUGUACUUUGCAGACAGGUCAUCCCAAGCCUCAGCUUCUCUAUCUGCUGAGUGAGGAUGUUAGUGUUUCCUGGUAUACUUUUGUGAGAUUUCAUGAAACUGGCCAUCAGCAACAGAGAACCCAACAUUACUAUCAUGAAAUCCAUAUGAAUGAACGCAAGAAUGAACGAGGGCCCAGCUAGCAUGUGGAAUAAAUACACGCAAGAUGAAAUGCCCAAUGUCGAUGUUUGCCUAGGAUUCUCUUGGCUCUCUGAAAACUUCCAAGUACUAAAGCCCGUUGAUUUAGUGCUGACUGAGAGACACCGUGCCUUGGCCCCUCAGUGGAAGUGACCCUAAACUGUGAUCCUGACGACACCCACAGUAGUCGAGGCUGAUGGGAUCCAGACCUGGAUCCACCGUUGCCAUUUGAAGCCUGCUCCUUAGAAACAACAGGACUCAACCCAACGAUGGCCUGUCCAGUCUCAUCCACAGGACCCACUGAAGCUAAGGAUAGUAGGUGAGAGAAACCGAUGGACGGCACAGCCACACUCAAAGGGCCCUCUAAAGAUAAGACUUGUAGAUUGACUAGUAAACUUUGCCUUAUACUUACUA
Mastomys coucha (southern multimammate mouse) is the source of this 1142-nucleotide long non-coding RNA. RefSeq lists it as uncharacterized. The transcript is spliced from 4 exons. The record is from RefSeq and is a predicted model, not a curated record. Lineage: Eukaryota; Metazoa; Chordata; Mammalia; Rodentia; Muridae.